CAGGGAAACCGUCUCUACGUGCAUGCC
This 27-nucleotide non-coding RNA is filed under the name Mus musculus (house mouse). The record is from RNAcentral. Lineage: Eukaryota; Metazoa; Chordata; Mammalia; Rodentia; Muridae.